UCUUAAUAUUUAUUUUAUAUUUUUUUACACAUUCUAAAAGAUCAUUUAAUACGGUCAAAUUUUGCGUACAAAAGUUGAACAAUGAUUUUGAACUCAAUCUUGAGCCCAUGACUAGAUCCAUUAUCAAACAAUUUUCUAUUUAAGAAAUAAUUAGCUCAAAAUAGGGGGUGAUGAAAUUAAUUUUAGAAUUUGGGGGUUUUAAUUAUCAGAUUUUUAACUCUUCUAUAGUUCAUUAUCUUUCUGGCUCCGACCAGUCACCGCCAAAAUGAUACCUCACUGGGUCAACGUACCCCUCUUUUUUUCUUUCGUUUCUUCACUACCUAUUCUCUUCUCCAAGAACACAACCACACCACCAAAACGCCCUUUGCGAUUUUCUCUCUUUUCCGGCGAAAUCACACAGAUCUUCCUCCCUUUCUCCAUUUCCGGUGUAUCAGCUCCGACAUCCAAUGCUGGAGAACACCAGCUCCGACAACUUCAAUAAAUGUCCGAAUCUGGCCCAAAAAGACUUACCACUGGUGACCAUUUUUCAUUCACUUCCUCAGGUAAUCAGCUUUUAUUUGCUUUUGUUUUAUUCAAAUUAAAAAUUAUUCGGCUAUUUUUAGUAUUGUUCCUUAGUUUACAUCUUUGGUAAUGGCUAAUAUGAGCAUUUUUUCAUUUUGUAUUGUGUUUGAUUUAUCAUUAUUUCGAUGUAGUAGGUUUUAUUGCUGCCAUUAAUUUAACAUUAAUUUCGUUUUAGUUUUUAUUAUUUUACUUUAGUUUUUGGCUUGACUAAUAUAAUAUUUUAUUUUACUAUUUUUA
Non-coding RNA from Solanum lycopersicum (tomato), 798 nucleotides. NCBI's taxonomy places the organism in Eukaryota, Viridiplantae, Streptophyta, Magnoliopsida, Solanales, Solanaceae. The record is from RefSeq and is a predicted model, not a curated record.